Molecule: ribosomal RNA, 115 nt
Organism: Pseudoxanthomonas spadix BD-a59
Lineage: Bacteria; Pseudomonadati; Pseudomonadota; Gammaproteobacteria; Lysobacterales; Lysobacteraceae
Source: Rfam
CCUGGUGAAAUUAGCGCUGUGGUCCCACCCGUUCCCAUCCCGAACACGGAAGUGAAACGCAGCUGCGCCGAUGGUAGUGUGGCUUAAGCCAUGCAAGAGUAGGUCAUCGCCAGGG